CAAACCGGGUUGCCCUGACACCAACUAGCUAGCCCUACCCCAAAAACAACUAACCACUAUUAAUAACCCCAAAC
RNAcentral lists this transfer RNA (74 nucleotides) under Hemanthias signifer. Its description in RNAcentral is "tRNA-Val". The record is from RNAcentral. Lineage: Eukaryota; Metazoa; Chordata; Actinopteri; Perciformes; Anthiadidae.